This 73-nucleotide transfer RNA is filed under the name Acanthaster planci (crown-of-thorns starfish). RNAcentral's name for it is "tRNA-Thr". It matches the Rfam family "tRNA". Rfam says of the family: Transfer RNA (tRNA) molecules are approximately 80 nucleotides in length. Their secondary structure includes four short double-helical elements and three loops (D, anti-codon, and T loops). Lineage: Eukaryota; Metazoa; Echinodermata; Asteroidea; Valvatida; Acanthasteridae. The record is from Rfam by way of RNAcentral.
GGCUGGGUAGCUCAGUUGGUAGAGCACUGGUGCGGUGUUCCAGAGGUCGCAGGUUCAAAUCCUGCUCCAAUCA